RNAcentral lists this ribosomal RNA (1372 nucleotides) under uncultured bacterium. Its description in RNAcentral is "bacterial SSU rRNA". It matches the Rfam family "Bacterial small subunit ribosomal RNA", at positions 28 to 1381 of the family's 1533-position model. The record is from RNAcentral.
GAUGAACGCUGGCGGCGUGCCUAAUACAUGCAAGUCGAGCGAACGGACGAGAAGCUUGCUUCUCUGAUGUUAGCGGCGGACGGGUGAGCAACACGUGGAUAACCUACCUAUAAGACUGGGAUAACUUCGGGAAACCGGAGCUAAUACCGGAUAAUAUUUUGAACCGCAUGGUUCAAAAGUGAAAGACGGUCUUGCUGUCACUUAUAGAUGGAUCCGCGCUGCAUUAGCUAGUUGGUAAGGUAACGGCUUACCAAGGCAACGAUGCAUAGCCGACCUGAGAGGGUGAUCGGCCACACUGGAACUGAGACACGGUCCAGACUCCUACGGGAGGCAGCAGUAGGGAAUCUUCCGCAAUGGGCGAAAGCCUGACGGAGCAACGCCGCGUGAGUGAUGAAGGUCUUCGGAUCGUAAAACUCUGUUAUUAGGGAAGAACAUAUGUGUAAGUAACUGUGCACAUCUUGACGGUACCUAAUCAGAAAGCCACGGCUAAUUACGUGCCAGCAGCCGCGGUAAUACGUAGGUGGCAAGCGUUAUCCGGAAUUAUUGGGCGUAAAGCGCGCGUAGGCGGUUUUUUAAGUCUGAUGUGAAAGCCCACGGCUCAACCGUGGAGGGUCAUUGGAAACUGGAAAACUUGAGUGCAGAAGAGGAAAGUGGAAUUCCAUGUGUAGCGGUGAAAUGCGCAGAGAUAUGGAGGAACACCAGUGGCGAAGGCGACUUUCUGGUCUGUAACUGACGCUGAUGUGCGAAAGCGUGGGGAUCAAACAGGAUUAGAUACCCUGGUAGUCCACGCCGUAAACGAUGAGUGCUAAGUGUUAGGGGGUUUCCGCCCCUUAGUGCUGCAGCUAACGCAUUAAGCACUCCGCCUGGGGAGUACGACCGCAAGGUUGAAACUCAAAGGAAUUGACGGGGACCCGCACAAGCGGUGGAGCAUGUGGUUUAAUUCGAAGCAACGCGGAGAACCUUACCAAAUCUUGACAUCCUUUGACAACUCUAGAGAUAGAGCCUUCCCCUUCGGGGGACAAAGUGACAGGUGGUGCAUGGUUGUCGUCAGCUCGUGUCGUGAGAUGUUGGGUUAAGUCCCGCAACGAGCGCAACCCUUAAGCUUAGUUGCCAUCAUUAAGUUGGGCACUCUAAGUUGACUGCCGGUGACAAACCGGAGGAAGGUGGGGAUGACGUCAAAUCAUCAUGCCCCUUAUGAUUUGGGCUACACACGUGCUACAAUGGACAAUACAAAGGGCAGCGAAACCGCGAGGUCAAGCAAAUCCCAUAAAGUUGUUCUCAGUUCGGAUUGUAGUCUGCAACUCGACUACAUGAAGCUGGAAUCGCUAGUAAUCGUAGAUCAGCAUGCUACGGUGAAUACGUUCCCGGGUCU